AAAAACAGGGCAAAAAAACAAGCUAUGACUGCGCUAUCUACGUUAUGAAGUGGCUUGAGUUAAUUGAGCCGAAAAAUAUCAAAAAGAGGAAGUAUGAAUGGGAUAAUUGGCCACAGGAGGAGGUGGACCACUAUAGAGUGGAGUAUGCUUCCCGGAUACUAUUCAGUGAGAUGAAUAAACAGAGAAAUCGGGCAAUUAGAGAGAGUAGUGCUAUAAGGCUGUCGAAGUCAUCCUCUGUAUUAUUGAGUCCGUUUUGUCAGAUUAUUCUGCUGAUAUAGAAACUGGGUAAUCCAACUGCUGCGUAGUUUGUAAUUUAAACAAAUGAUGUAAAUAUUUGCCAAUUAUCAACAACUUCUAUUUCAUGUAUAUUUUUUUCCAUAGUUAAACUAUCUGUACUGGUAAACUGUCUGUGAUGUAUUUAAAAACUGUAUUACAGGUGGUGAACGCAAAUUAUAAACUGUUACACCCAACGCAAGUCUAAUAAUACACCCAAGAUUGCGUAAACUAUACACCCAACUGUCUGCGCUGUACUCAAAAUGUAUGAAUUACAUGUACUAAAAUAUGAAGAAAAACAUCAAAUGAAAUAUACACUCAUAACAUGCGAAU
Long non-coding RNA from Arachis stenosperma, 606 nucleotides. RefSeq lists it as uncharacterized. The transcript has 3 exons. The record is from RefSeq and is a predicted model, not a curated record. NCBI's taxonomy places the organism in Eukaryota, Viridiplantae, Streptophyta, Magnoliopsida, Fabales, Fabaceae.